This 1555-nucleotide ribosomal RNA is filed under the name Escherichia coli O104:H4 str. 2011C-3493. RNAcentral describes it as "bacterial SSU rRNA". It matches the Rfam family "Bacterial small subunit ribosomal RNA". Lineage: Bacteria; Pseudomonadati; Pseudomonadota; Gammaproteobacteria; Enterobacterales; Enterobacteriaceae. The record is from RNAcentral.
AAAUUGAAGAGUUUGAUCAUGGCUCAGAUUGAACGCUGGCGGCAGGCCUAACACAUGCAAGUCGAACGGUAACAGGAAACAGCUUGCUGUUUCGCUGACGAGUGGCGGACGGGUGAGUAAUGUCUGGGAAACUGCCUGAUGGAGGGGGAUAACUACUGGAAACCGGUAGCUAAUACCGCAUAACGUCGCAAGACCAAAGAGGGGGACCUUCGGGCCUCUUGCCAUCGGAUGUGCCCAGAUGGGAUUAGCUUGUUGGUGGGGUAACGGCUCACCAAGGCGACGAUCCCUAGCUGGUCUGAGAGGAUGACCAGCCACACUGGAACUGAGACACGGUCCAGACUCCUACGGGAGGCAGCAGUGGGGAAUAUUGCACAAUGGGCGCAAGCCUGAUGCAGCCAUGCCGCGUGUAUGAAGAAGGCCUUCGGGUUGUAAAGUACUUUCAGCGGGGAGGAAGGGAGUAAAGUUAAUACCUUUGCUCAUUGACGUUACCCGCAGAAGAAGCACCGGCUAACUCCGUGCCAGCAGCCGCGGUAAUACGGAGGGUGCAAGCGUUAAUCGGAAUUACUGGGCGUAAAGCGCACGCAGGCGGUUUGUUAAGUCAGAUGUGAAAUCCCCGGGCUCAACCUGGGAACUGCAUCUGAUACUGGCAAGCUUGAGUCUCGUAGAGGGGGGUAGAAUUCCAGGUGUAGCGGUGAAAUGCGUAGAGAUCUGGAGGAAUACCGGUGGCGAAGGCGGCCCCCUGGACGAAGACUGACGCUCAGGUGCGAAAGCGUGGGGAGCAAACAGGAUUAGAUACCCUGGUAGUCCACGCCGUAAACGAUGUCGACUUGGAGGUUGUGCCCUUGAGGCGUGGCUUCCGGAGCUAACGCGUUAAGUCGACCGCCUGGGGAGUACGGCCGCAAGGUUAAAACUCAAAUGAAUUGACGGGGGCCCGCACAAGCGGUGGAGCAUGUGGUUUAAUUCGAUGCAACGCGAAGAACCUUACCUGGUCUUGACAUCCACGGAAGUUUUCAGAGAUGAGAAUGUGCCUUCGGGAACCGUGAGACAGGUGCUGCAUGGCUGUCGUCAGCUCGUGUUGUGAAAUGUUGGGUUAAGUCCCGCAACGAGCGCAACCCUUAUCCUUUGUUGCCAGCGGUCCGGCCGGGAACUCAAAGGAGACUGCCAGUGAUAAACUGGAGGAAGGUGGGGAUGACGUCAAGUCAUCAUGGCCCUUACGACCAGGGCUACACACGUGCUACAAUGGCGCAUACAAAGAGAAGCGACCUCGCGAGAGCAAGCGGACCUCAUAAAGUGCGUCGUAGUCCGGAUUGGAGUCUGCAACUCGACUCCAUGAAGUCGGAAUCGCUAGUAAUCGUGGAUCAGAAUGCCACGGUGAAUACGUUCCCGGGCCUUGUACACACCGCCCGUCACACCAUGGGAGUGGGUUGCAAAAGAAGUAGGUAGCUUAACCUUCGGGAGGGCGCUUACCACUUUGUGAUUCAUGACUGGGGUGAAGUCGUAACAAGGUAACCGUAGGGGAACCUGCGGUUGGAUCACCUCCUUACCUUAAAGAAGC